UGUCGAUAUAAAAGCGUCAAACACUCAAUUGUCCAACAUCUGCUUGUCCAUGGCGGUGUGAUCGGCACUGUUCUGGAGGCGCCAAAUUCCAUGGAAGCCUGCAAAUAUCAGUUGGUUGAAGUCGGUACCUAAAGUCGUUCCCUAAUCUCUUUGGAUUCGUACAAUCUGUUACUUUGCGUUUUGGUUUUGAGUGUUGCAUUCUCUGUUCUUUUGCCGUUUUUGAUUUGGUAUUAAUCUGCUACCGGUUGCUGUCCCGUGUCUAUGAUUCUUUGUUGUGUUGCUGACUUUCUCUGCAUGGAUACAUGUGCACAACAUCUGUUUGACAAUAUGCCCAUAAGAUAAGAGCAAUAAAAAUCAGUUGUCUAAAUUUUCUGCGUGAUUGAGCUACCCAUUAUUGGAACUAUUUGCUGUUCUAGUUUUACUCUUAAGAGUAUGAAUAUAGACCGAAGAUGUCAACAUGCUGAUAUCGCUUUUUUAAGAUUAUCAUAGCAGCAUACACAAAAGCCAAUAUUAAUGCAUAGUUUUUAUUGAAUAAAAUAUAAAAUUUAACAUGUAAAAAUGCAAGAAGAGUUAAAAUAUUUAACUGAUAUUUUGUACUAGUUUGUUCAAUUUUAUUGUGCUAUCAUAACAUGAGAUUCUAUUUAAUUUUUGUGUUUUUAUUUUUGCUUUUGCUUUUUCUUUUUAUUUUUUUUAAAUCUUGUGGUUCACUAUGUUGAUUAUCCAUUUAGCAUUUCAGGCUAUUUGUUUGAGGGGCACGGUUGGCCAUCUUCAACUAUCUCCGAGACACCUCCUGAGGACAAUGCCGACAGAGCAAUGUUAAUUGAUACUCUCUAGGUACUUUAUUCAAUUUGAUGAUCAAGUCAUAAACGCAUUGAGGAAUUCUAUUUUUUGGUUUUGAUAUGCGAAAAGGGACUGGAAGACUGAAAGAUACAAGGAAAUUAUCAAAUCUGGAACUGUGGAGUCCACACCCGGAGUUUUGAGAUUGAUGGAUGAGGCCAAGGCUGCUGUAAGAUAGGCAUUUACCUUAUAAGUGCAAUCGUCACUUUGUCAUGGCUCUUAAGUUUUUCAUUGUAUUUGCAUAUGUUAUCCACAGUUAAUUAGGUGUCCUGUGUUCAAAAUGUAUUAGAUCCAUUAAUUCCGGCAUUGUUGGCUGAUAAAAAUUGGAAGUUCAUUUUCAUUGAACAGGCAUUUUUCCAGCGAUGGUGGAGGGACCAGAGCGAGGCAGUCCAGAGUAUAACCAAGCAGUUUGUCAGCACAGAAAUGGUGGUUGCUGCAUGGAUGAUGAGGCGGCCUCACAUUAUAUUGACAAGAUAGAUCAGACUACACUUGGGCACUGGUUUAUCAAAGAGAAGUUCACUGUGACUCCAAGAGUUGGUUGGCAGAUUAAUCCCUUUGGUCAUUCUGCAGUGCAGGCUUACCUUUUGGGGGCAGAGGUUGGAUUUGACUCUUUUUUCUUCAGCCAAAUUGACUACCAAGACAGAGAUAAGUGAAAAAAUGAGAAGAGCCUUGAGGUUGUCUGGCAGGGCUCUAAGAAUUUUGGUUCAUCUGCACAGGUGAGUGACUCGGUGAUAUUUGUAGCAUAAACUAUAAAUGGCUCAAUUUUUGUUGCUCUCCCCAUUUUGUUUGGCCUCCACUGCAAGUAGAAACUUAUUAUUGCUUUGUGAGGUAACACCCCCCCCCCUCUCUCUCUCUCUCUCUCUCUCAUUGAAUCCAUGAACUUCAAGAAAAGAAACUCUUUACAAAAGUUGUCUAGAAUUAUGUAUACAUACAUUUGGAGGAUUAGUUGGAACUACGGUGGUGACGAAAAAUAUGGUUGUAAGGACAUGUCUUUUGAACUUCUUUUAUUUUCUGGAGUUUAGGGUCGUUAUUAGUUUAUUUAUUUAUUAUUUUUUUUAUGACUUUGGUAUUUUGAUAGUUUGGUAUUGUGGGUUAUUUUCUAACUUUACAUUAUUUAAGUUGUUUUGACUAUUUGUUGCUACUUUAAUGUUGGGAGGUAUUGGUUAGUCAUGAAUUUAUGAUGGAUGGUUUGGUUGACAUUUGUUUUUUUUUUUUUUAUCCCUUGUAUUUUUUUUUAGCAUUGAAAUUUACUUAAAUAGAUUGGGUCGAAAACAUUUCGAUUUUUGUUUCACCCUUAGGAUUUAGAUGAUGGAAUAUUAAUUGGGCUUUAGUUCUAAUUUAAUAUUUAAUUGUCCAAAUUUUGGGUGUGACACAAACCAAAUUUGAUGAGGCAAAAUCCAAGCAGAUCAAGAUAGAGAUAGAGGCGAAAGUCCAACAAUUCUGAAAUUGGUGAAGCAAAUUUGAUUUUGGCGGGACAAAGAGGCGGGAGCCAAAUAAUGAAGUGGGAGAUAUAGUUGUUCUAAAAAUUAUCAUUAGGCCAACAGAAAUAGUUGCAAUCGGAGCACUUAAAAGCAUAGACCAUCUAAAAAAGUAAAAGGGGAAGAACUAUGACCUGACUAUUGGGAGGUACAUGUUCAAGUGCCAGUCAAACCUAAUGAGAGCUUGAUUCGAUCAUAUGGACUUGUCAGAACAAUUAGACAAGCUAUUGGAGCUCAUGUUGCUUAGCCAACUCCAUUUGUGAUUUCGCAAGUUAUGGAUGCUAGCUGAGAAUAUUUAUACAAAUGAGGUUGAGAACUUGGAAACUGAAUUUGUUUUGAUAAUUUGUCUCUUCGAAAGAUGGAUAUCACUAUGGCUUUUCAGAAUUUAUGGUUGGAAUAAUUUUCUUUUAAAUUUUUUUUUGCUUUAACUUUGUUAGUGUGGUAGAAUAUUUUAUAAUUUUGAUUUGUAUUGCAAUAUACAUAAAUUUAUAUUCUUAGAUAAAAAAAUGA
This is a non-coding RNA of Camellia sinensis, 2825 nucleotides long. Lineage: Eukaryota; Viridiplantae; Streptophyta; Magnoliopsida; Ericales; Theaceae. The record is from RefSeq and is a predicted model, not a curated record.